RNAcentral lists this ribosomal RNA (446 nucleotides) under uncultured bacterium. RNAcentral describes it as "partial 16S ribosomal RNA". It matches the Rfam family "Bacterial small subunit ribosomal RNA", at positions 338 to 795 of the family's 1533-position model. The record is from RNAcentral.
CCUACGGGUGGCUGCAGUCGAGAAUCAUUCACAAUGGGGGAAACCCUGAUGGUGCGACGCCGCGUGGGGGAAUGAAGGUCUUCGGAUUGUAAACCCCUGUCAUGUGGGAGCAAAUUAAAAAGAUAGUACCACAAGAGGAAGAGACGGCUAACUCUGUGCCAGCAGCCGCGGUAAUACAGAGGUCUCAAGCGUUGUUCGGAAUCACUGGGCGUAAAGCGUGCGUAGGCGGUUUCGUAAGUCGUGUGUGAAAGGCGAGGGCUCAACCCGCGGACGGCACAUGAUACUGCGAGACUAGAGUAAUGGAGGGGGAAGCGGAAUUCUCGGUGUAGCAGUGAAAUGCGUAGAGAUCGAGAGGAACACUCGUGGCGAAGGCGGGUUCCUGGACAUUAACUGACGCUGAGGCACGAAGGCCAGGGGAGCGAAAAGGAUUAGAUACCCUUGUAGUC